UCAAGUAAGCCUAGUAGUUGGGGUUGUCAAACAAAUGUGAGAAAAAAGUGCCUAGCAUAUAGGGAUGUUAUCCACAAUACCUCUAUAAAUAGAGUAGGAGGGUUGAGAAAUAAAUAAAAGUUGGGAGAGUGAGUUUCCCAUACUUUUUGAGUGCGUAUAGAUUAGUUGCACCAUGUAGUCACAUGAGGGAAUGGGAGGAAGGCAAGGAGAUUGAUUAAGUAAGUUAAAAGUGGACACGCACGUGCUAAUAUUGGUGUUAUUUCAAAUGGGAGAAAUAAGUUGGAAGCUAACCAACUACUUCUCGAAUAAGGACUCGACUAGUGUAAUAAACUUGAAAUUUAGGUUGAUCUACCUCCGUUAUUAGGUUUGGAAUGUAGAGGUGGUUUCCCCAUAUUGGCUUUUAGGUUCGCAAAUAGUUCUUCACACUUAUUCAUCUACACGAUAUUUGUCUUCCUUCCUUUUUAAUCCUUAAGGAAAAGGAGGCACUUGUUUAUUGCUCAUGCGAUGAACCUAUUCAAUGCAUGUACUCGCCCUGUUAAUCUCUACAUUUUCUUCAUAAUUCGUCGUGGUUUCAAUUCUAGCAAAGAUUGAAUUUUUUAAGGAUUUGUUUCGACCUCUUGCUCAAGGUUUAUGACAUUAUUGACAUAUUUGUGUGAUUUUUACGUAUCCGGCCUCCUUAGUGCAACCAAGAACUUUGCACUCAUGGUUGGUGCAGAAGUUGGGCAAAAAAUGGUACCUAGGGCAACAACUCAAAAAACCUGAAUUUAUUGUCUAUUGUUUUGGACCUCUUUCUUGUGUGUGUGUGUGUGUGUGUUUUUUUUUUUUUUUUUACUACAAGCAAUAAUUUAUUUUAAAUUAAUCUAAACUACGGGGAAUGGAUUCGAACUUGGGUGCAGAGUGGGGAGCACAUUCUCUCUAACCAACACGGCUAAGUCCAUGUCUAAGUUUUUUUUUGUUUUUUUUGGUUUUUGUGUGUGUGACAAACAUUAGGAUAUUUCGAAACUAUAUUUACAACGCGCCAACAAACUCACAACUAAGUUUUACCACCAAAAUAGCGCUAAACACAAAUAGAUAUCAAACUCAUCACACACACACACAUAUAUUAUCAUCGUCAUCCAUGUGAGUUAAAUCUAAGACUUCCUCUAACCAAGUGAAAACAAAUACUACUAGACCUAAUGCUAGUUGAUUAGUUUAGGACUAUUCGAGGUUCUCAAUAAUUCCAUUGAUCAAAAUUUUUUCCCUUCCACAAUGCCUU
RNAcentral lists this long non-coding RNA (1255 nucleotides) under Prunus persica (peach). Its description in RNAcentral is "long non-coding RNA (PPER_LNC005024)". Lineage: Eukaryota; Viridiplantae; Streptophyta; Magnoliopsida; Rosales; Rosaceae. The record is from RNAcentral.